GGGGCCGUCGUCUAGCCUGGACUAGGAUGCCAGCCUGGGGCGCUGGUGAGCCCGGGUUCAAAUCCCGGCGGCCCCA
This 76-nucleotide transfer RNA is filed under the name Thermoprotei archaeon. Its description in RNAcentral is "tRNA-Pro". It matches the Rfam family "tRNA". Rfam says of the family: Transfer RNA (tRNA) molecules are approximately 80 nucleotides in length. Their secondary structure includes four short double-helical elements and three loops (D, anti-codon, and T loops). The record is from RNAcentral. Lineage: Archaea; Thermoproteati; Thermoproteota; Thermoprotei.